UUUUGAAGUCUAACAUUGACGUAAACAUAAGAAAUCAUUAAUUCAUCUCAGAACAAUGACAAGCAAUUCACCUAAUAUUAAUUGAAGUGAAGCCCAAGAAAUCUUCGACCAGCAAGGGAUGCUUUAUUUCUGAAGAUUUAUCGGUAUCUGUGCUGCUGAUCUAUAAAACUGUGUCCAAUAAAGGGGAAUUUAAUUAAAAAGAUAACGAGCGAGCUUUACGGAGGCAAGAUUAAAGGAGUAAUUUCUGGGCGAAACGCGGAAACGACAGGAAUGCAAUAGACACUGAUAAGAAGCUGUGGAAGUUAACGAGCUGUAUAUGAAAUAUAAUUGCUUCUUCAGUAA
Long non-coding RNA from Manduca sexta (tobacco hornworm), 342 nucleotides. RefSeq lists it as uncharacterized. The record is from RefSeq and is a predicted model, not a curated record. The transcript has 2 exons. NCBI's taxonomy places the organism in Eukaryota, Metazoa, Arthropoda, Insecta, Lepidoptera, Sphingidae.